GGUUCAUUCAAAUUUCUUCCCUAUCAACUUUGGAUGUUUGGGUAUUGGCCAAGCGUGGUCGCAACGGGUAACGGAGGGUUAGGGCUCGACCCCGGAGAAGGAGCCUGAGAAACGGCUACUACAUCCAAGGAAGGCAGCAGGCGCGCAAAUUACCCAAUCCCGACCGGGGAGGUAGUGACAAUAAAUACUGAUACGAGGCUCUUUUGGGCCUUGUAAUUGGAAUGAGUACAAUUUAAAUCUCUUAACGAGGAACAAUUGGAGGGCAAGUCUGGUGCCAGCAGCCGGGUAAUUCCAGCUCCAAUAGCGUAUAUUAAAGUUGUGGUGGUUAAAAAGCUCGUAGUUG
Molecule: ribosomal RNA, 343 nt
Filed under: uncultured fungus
Lineage: Eukaryota; Fungi
Description: SSU rRNA
Rfam family: Eukaryotic small subunit ribosomal RNA
Source: RNAcentral